RNAcentral lists this long non-coding RNA (455 nucleotides) under Gossypium barbadense (sea-island cotton). Its description in RNAcentral is "long non-coding RNA (GBAR_LNC009280)". The record is from RNAcentral. Lineage: Eukaryota; Viridiplantae; Streptophyta; Magnoliopsida; Malvales; Malvaceae.
UUUCUGUUCAUUUUUCAAAUCCCUAAUCCCCCUUCCUAGUCGCCGAUUCAUCUCCACCAGAUGGUGCUCUUCGAGUCUGGAGGAAUUUCAACCCUGAAAUCUUUCCUCAGCUUAGAUUUCAACGAAGAAAGGAGAAGAAAUCCAUGGCCUGUUUGCACGGUAAGGUUUUUCUUUACCUUCUUUUUUUUUUUAAAUCAAAAAUAGAUCCAACCAUGAAUCAUUCAAGAAAAUAAAUCGAAUAAAGAAAACAACUAAAAAAAACUUAAAUCGGAGAUCACCUCUAAAUCUUGAUUGAUUUCUCUCUAUUUGAUUGGUAUGCGUAUAGUGUGCGUAAAAAAUACAGAGUACAAGUGAUGGCCUUUUAUAGCCUAAAUUUACAGAGUAAAGAACAAAAAGUAAAAUAUUUUCCUACUGUCAUUUUGCACAUUCUACUCUUUUGUAUUCUUUUGUAGAAA